UAUGUUUUCCCCAUGUGGGACCAGGGUGUGGGCUGGCUGAUGGCUCUGUCUUCCAUGGUCCUCAUCCCCGGGUACAUGGCGUACAUGUUCCUCACCUUAAAGGGCUCCCUGAAGCAGCGCAUCCAAGUCAUGGUCCAGCCCAGCGAAGACAUCGUUCGCCCAGAGAAUGGUCCUGAGCAGCCCCAGGCGGGCAGCUCCACCAGCAAGGAGGCCUACAUCUAGGGUGGGGGCCACUCACCGACCCGACACUCUCACCCCCCGACCUGGCUGAGUGUGACCACCACUUGAUGUCUGAGGAUACCUUCCAUCUCAACCUACCUCGAGUGGCGAGUCCAGACACCAUCACCACGCAGAGAGGGGAGGUGGGAGGACAGUUAGACCCCUGGGUGGGCCCUGCCGUGGGCAAGGAUACCCGGUGGCUUCUGGCACCUGGCGGGCUGGUGACCUUUUUAAUCCAGGCCCCAUCAGCAUCCCACGAUCGGCCUUGGUAACCGCCGCGGUAGAUCAUUUUUAUCCCGCCAGGGAGUGUGAUGCAGCAAGACCACAUGUGCUCCUGGCUUUUAAACCUGUUCCUGACUGUUCUCUUACUGCCGAAACCCUUGACUGUUAUCUCAGACUUUGCAGGAGUUCCUUUCCCUCCGAACGCUGCUCCAUGCACAGGAAAAGGGCAUUUUGUACAAUGGGGACUUCCCGGGAACGCUUGCUCUUAAGUACCAGAAGCCGGCGGAGCUCUGGCUUUCGUGUUUUUGGUUUUCUCCUUCCCAAGGCAGCUGGAUUAAAAAAACAAAACAAAACAAAAAAACCCAGGGGCCUCAGUCGAUAUUCCCAGGGCCGCUUCUCCUGCAGUCUGUGGAGCGUCCUUGUCCCCGCCGCCGGAAUGAAUGAGCAUUCUGCAGCCCGAUGUCCCUGUCCCCUCCUCGCCGGGCCAUUCUGAUUGGACCUGGCCCAGUGCAAUCUGUCCAGACAAGCCCUGCUUGCUGGAAAACUGCCACAAGCACAAUUGAUCUCUUUUUAUCGCCAUUCCAGGGGCCUCAGGUCCUACUGGGGAAACUUCCUAUACCGGAGCUCCAGUUUCUCUUAAGCUGCCCAAUUUCACAGAGUACAAAAUAGUUGUAGGGGAAAUCAAGGUGAAGGAUCUGUCCGACAGUCAAGACGGAUCCACAGUAAUCUUUCGGUCUCCUUAAACUACCACCCUCGCUGCCACCCACCCCAAGCUGCUGCCGCCUCACCUUCCUUGAAAUUUCUCAGCGGGAGUCUCCUCACUGCCACUAAAACCCACCCAGCCCACUAACUGAGGAGCUAGUGUUAAUCCAGAGAACCCCCCGCAAUGUGCUUCCGAGAUUCAGACUGCUUCAUUGGGAAGUAUGAUUUGUUCCUUUCUGGAAUUGGGCUCCGUGGUGGCGGCGGCACUUCAAGCAAAGACAGUUUCUUGCAAGCUCCAGUAGCUCCGCGUGUCUCAUUUGCCAGGAAGAUGGGUUCCCACGUAGCAAAUCGUACAUUGUGCCCUGUAGCUCCUUAGCUAGUUAGCUCACAAGCCGUGUUUUAUGACUAAUCCUUAAUAACUAUGGUAAAUAACUGUGACUGUGGGGUUUUUAAUCUCUUGUCAUUCUCAUCCGAAAGUGACCAGCAUACCAGUUCUUGCAAUAAGAUAUUACCCUCAGAAUAUUAAGCACAUUAUUGUAGAGAAAAAAAAAAUAUGUGUACACAUAUGAACGCACAACAUGCACAUUCAUCCUCACGUGUGGCACGUAAGGUCUCAUUUGAUAUUGUGUAGGAAAUCUGAAGCCUUUUCCUGAGGUCAUCUGUAAAAUAGUCUCAUUGCCAAGGCAUCCCCAGUGCCAGCUGGUGAAUCCAUGAUCAAAAUGCAUACGUAUUGUUAAAUGAUAAGGUUUAGAAUGACAGGAACCCAUCACUGUGUCUCAUGGUCCCACUUCCCCAUCUGUGUGUGAAUUCCUUUAGACUAAGGGCAGGAAGACUUCCAGCUUUCUCUUUGUUCUUCAAUGUGAAACUGAGACCAAGUCUCUCUAAGACAAAUGCAGUGUAUUUAAUGUUUGUAAGCAAUUCUAAGUGAGAUGUUUGGCAAGAAAUCCCCUAACUGAUUUCCAUCCAAACCUACCUUAUAGAGCACAAUAUUAAGUGUUGUACAAUUACUGUGAGAACUGUGAAUAUGUGUAACUUUUUUUUAGUAUUUGCCCGGGGGGAAAAAGAUAUUGUAUUAUCAUAUAUGCUUUUUUUGCAAUAAGGAUUUAUUCUCAGAACACCAAGUAAAUCUAUCUCUAUAUAAAAAAUAUAUGUAAUAUAUACAUAUUCAAAGUAUAUACAGAGCCUGUUUUAAAAAAUACAGUAUUAUUUAGUAAAAUUAUCUGUUCUAUGGACCAAAUGUAAAAUAUUUAUAAAUGAAGAUGCAUUUUAAAUGUCUAUAAAUGGUGUCAUAACUAGAGCACGGGCGUUAUGUAAGUUUCUAAGAAUUUAGAGGAUAAAUAAUAAAGGUUCUAUGAUAUACA
This 2504-nucleotide long non-coding RNA is filed under the name Pan troglodytes (chimpanzee). RNAcentral describes it as "long non-coding RNA NONPTRT011277". Lineage: Eukaryota; Metazoa; Chordata; Mammalia; Primates; Hominidae. The record is from RNAcentral.